Sander lucioperca (pikeperch) is the source of this 132-nucleotide small nucleolar RNA. The record is from Ensembl. NCBI's taxonomy places the organism in Eukaryota, Metazoa, Chordata, Actinopteri, Perciformes, Percidae.
UUGCAUCGAUGGACGGACCUGAAGCAGGCUUCUUUGGCUCUGGGUUUGCAUAGAAAUGCUAAACGGAAUCUUCCUCGCUCUUCCUGACUGCUACAUUCUAUAGCAGCACAGAUUGAUUUGAGGAAUACAUGU